GGAAGUAAUCUCCGUUGGUGAACCAGCGGAGGGAUCAUUA
This 40-nucleotide ribosomal RNA is filed under the name Ophiocordyceps sinensis. Its description in RNAcentral is "partial 18S ribosomal RNA". The record is from RNAcentral. Lineage: Eukaryota; Fungi; Ascomycota; Sordariomycetes; Hypocreales; Ophiocordycipitaceae.